UACGUAGGGUGCAAGCGUUGUCCGGAAUUAUUGGGCGUAAAGAGCUCGUAGGCGGUUUGUCGCGUCUGCCGUGAAAGUCCGGGGCUCAACUCCGGAUCUGCGGUGGGUACGGGCAGACUAGAGUGAUGUAGGGGAGACUGGAAUUCCUGGUGUAGCGGUGAAAUGCGCAGAUAUCAGGGGGAACACCGAUGGCGAAGGCAGGUCUCUGGGCAUUAACUGACGCUGAGGAGCGAAAGCAUGGGGAGCGAACAGG
This 253-nucleotide ribosomal RNA is filed under the name uncultured bacterium. Its description in RNAcentral is "partial 16S ribosomal RNA". It matches the Rfam family "Bacterial small subunit ribosomal RNA", at positions 524 to 776 of the family's 1533-position model. The record is from RNAcentral.